RNAcentral lists this ribosomal RNA (830 nucleotides) under Prolixandromyces triandrus. Its description in RNAcentral is "partial 5.8S ribosomal RNA". The stretch from base 383 to 536 matches the Rfam family "5.8S ribosomal RNA". The record is from RNAcentral. Lineage: Eukaryota; Fungi; Ascomycota; Laboulbeniomycetes; Laboulbeniales; Laboulbeniaceae.
UUGGUCAAUUUAAGAGAAGUAAAAGUCGUAACAAGGUUUCCGUAGGUGAACCUGCGGAAGGAUCAUUAUUGAGAUUUAUGGGCUUCGUGCCUACAAUAUCCAAACCCCCCUUCAAUGUUAUUCUCAGCCUUUUCUUGAGGCUGACAGUUGCUUUGGUGGGUUGGAGAAAGCUCAAACCAAGGCUGAGACAAUAAAGACGAAGACAUAUAUUAUAUGGCGAACCUUCAGCGUCUUCAGCCAGAGCACCCACAAGGCACAAAAGAGAGAGCGAGAUGAUGCAAGUGAUUGCUGUUAUUGCGAUACUCGAUUGGCGCCCACCAGAAACUUGUUUUCAAACGAUGUGAAUAUUUCAAUAAGUCUGAAUGAAUAUAUAAAUCUUUAAAACUUUCAACAACGGAUCUCUUGGUUCUGGCAUCGAUGAAGGACGUAGCAAACUGCGAUAAGUGAUGUGAAUUGCAGAAUCUCGUGAACCAUCGAAUCUUUGAACGCACAUUGCGCCCUCUGGCAAUCCAGAGGGCACGCCUGUUCGAGCGUCUUUUUUUAAAGUCAAGUUUAUUAUGCUUGGUUUUGGGAGCUUAUCUGGUUGGCUUUGUUUAGACAGAUCCAACCCUCCUGCAAAAAGUUGGCGACCAGGGCCACAGGCACUCCAGUCAUAGCACAAUCUCUUGGCUUUGAGUGUUUGGUUAGGUCAGCCUUAUACAGUCAUUGAGGUGAUGAGAAGAAUGCACAGUCAAUCUGUGGGUUUUUGAAUCAUCUUGAUGCACCAGCAGCACUUUGUUGUGGCUGUUAUUUCUUGACCUCGAAUCAGUGGGAGGACCCGCUGAACUUAA